Molecule: unclassified non-coding RNA, 296 nt
Filed under: Hevea brasiliensis (rubber tree)
Lineage: Eukaryota; Viridiplantae; Streptophyta; Magnoliopsida; Malpighiales; Euphorbiaceae
Source: RNAcentral
CCGUCAAGCGCGUGGUGUCGAUCGUCUGGGCGAUCAGCGCCGCGGUCGCGACCUGCGCCGGCGUGCUGCUGGCGCCGAUUACCUUCGUUCACUCCAAUGUCGGUCUGGUGUUGGGGUUGAAGGCUUUNNNNNNNGGCGGCCGUGCUCGGCGGCUUCGGCUCUAUCCCCGGCGCUGUGGUCGGCGGAGUUCUGAUCGGCGUGAUCGAAAGCAUGGCCGGCUUUUAUCUGCCGCAGGGAUGGAAGGACGUCGCGCCCUAUAUCGUGCUGCUCGCGGUGCUGCUGCUGAAACCCGAAGG